CGGAGGGUGCAAGCGUUAUCCGGAUUUACUGGGUUUAAAGGGUGCGUAGGUGGGUAGGUAAGUCAGUGGUGAAAUCUUCAAGCUUAACUUGGAAACUGCCAUUGAUACUAUUUAUCUUGAAUCAUCUGGAGGUAAGCGGAAUAUGUCAUGUAGCGGUGAAAUGCUUAGAUAUGACAUAGAACACCCAUUGCGAAGGCAGCUUACUACGGAUGUAUUGACACUGAGGCACGAAAGCGUGGGGAUCAAACAGGAUU
This 254-nucleotide ribosomal RNA is filed under the name uncultured bacterium. RNAcentral describes it as "partial 16S ribosomal RNA". It matches the Rfam family "Bacterial small subunit ribosomal RNA", at positions 526 to 779 of the family's 1533-position model. The record is from RNAcentral.